RNAcentral lists this ribosomal RNA (318 nucleotides) under Pseudomonas fluorescens. RNAcentral's name for it is "bacterial SSU rRNA". It matches the Rfam family "Bacterial small subunit ribosomal RNA", at positions 1181 to 1498 of the family's 1533-position model. Lineage: Bacteria; Pseudomonadati; Pseudomonadota; Gammaproteobacteria; Pseudomonadales; Pseudomonadaceae. The record is from RNAcentral.
GACGUCAAGUCAUCAUGGCCCUUACGGCCUGGGCUACACACGUGCUACAAUGGUCGGUACAGAGGGUUGCCAAGCCGCGAGGUGGAGCUAAUCCCAUAAAACCGAUCGUAGUCCGGAUCGCAGUCUGCAACUCGACUGCGUGAAGUCGGAAUCGCUAGUAAUCGCGAAUCAGAAUGUCGCGGUGAAUACGUUCCCGGGCCUUGUACACACCGCCCGUCACACCAUGGGAGUGGGUUGCACCAGAAGUAGCUAGUCUAACCUUCGGGAGGACGGUUACCACGGUGUGAUUCAUGACUGGGGUGAAGUCGUAACAAGGUA